Molecule: ribosomal RNA, 253 nt
Filed under: uncultured Eubacteriales bacterium
Lineage: Bacteria; Bacillati; Bacillota; Clostridia; Eubacteriales
Description: uncultured Clostridiales bacterium partial 16S ribosomal RNA
Rfam family: Bacterial small subunit ribosomal RNA
Source: RNAcentral
UACGUAGGGAGCAAGCGUUAUCCGGAAUUAUUGGGUGUAAAGGGUGCGUAGACGGGAUAACAAGUUAGUUGUGAAACCCCUCGGCUCAACUGAGGAACUGCAACUAAAACUAUUAUUCUUGAGUGCAGGAGAGGAAAGUGGAAUUCCUAGUGUAGCGGUGAAAUGCGUAGAUAUUAGGAAGAACACCGGUGGCGAAGGCGACCGCCUGGCCUGUUGCUGACGCUGAGGCACGAAAGCGUGGGGAGCAAAUAGG